Molecule: ribosomal RNA, 377 nt
Filed under: uncultured eukaryote
Lineage: Eukaryota
Description: partial 18S ribosomal RNA
Rfam family: Eukaryotic small subunit ribosomal RNA
Source: RNAcentral
CGAUAGCGUAUAUUUAAGUUGCUGCAGUUAAAAAGCUCGUAGUUGGAUUUCGGGUGGGAAUGGCCGGUCCGCCGUUUCGGUGUGCACUUGCUACGCCCACCUUGCUGCCGGGGACGUGCUCUUGAGUUCACGCUCGGGACACGGAGUCGGCGAGGUUACUUUGAGUAAAUUAGAGUGUUCAAAGCAGGCCUACGCUCUGAAUACAUUAGCAUGGAAUAACACGAUAGGACUCUGGCCUAUCUUGUUGGUCUGUAGGACCGGAGUAAUGAUUAAGAGGGACAGUCGGGGGCAUUCGUAUUUCAUUGUCAGAGGUGAAAUUCUUGGAUUUAUGAAAGACGAACUUCUGCGAAAGCAUUUGCCAAGGAUGUUUUCAUUGA